This 215-nucleotide ribosomal RNA is filed under the name uncultured bacterium. Its description in RNAcentral is "partial 16S ribosomal RNA". It matches the Rfam family "Bacterial small subunit ribosomal RNA", at positions 1286 to 1500 of the family's 1533-position model. The record is from RNAcentral.
UCCCAGUUCGGAUUGUAGUCUGCAACCCGACUACAGGAAGCUGGAAUCGCUAGUAAUCGCGGAUCAGAAUGCCGCGGUGAAUACGUUCCCGGGUCUUGUACACACCGCCCGUCACACCAUGGGAGUCGGAAAUGCCCGAAGUCUGUGACCUAACCGUAAGGAAGGAGCAGCCGAAGGCAGGUCGGAUGACUGGGGUGAAGUCGUAACAAGGUAUC